ACAAAACAGCACUUUAUUAUGAGAGUGGAUUAGAUAAUUAGCUCUGAUUUCUGUUCACACGUGCAAAGUUUAUACUCCUUCUUACAUACCUUUUACUGUGGAUGAAAUGAGUGAAAAAUGUUUUUUCAAGCUUCAGCAGAGAAUCAAAAUAUUAUGCCUGUAUCCCAAGAUUUCAUGCCAUAUAUUUGUGCUGUUUUAAGUCCUGACAAAAUCAGCAUAGAUUUAAGAGGUUAAGUUUGAACAAAGUCAGCCCUUUCAAUACAGUUUACAGAUUUUAAUUUAGUGUUACAUAUACUUUAAGUAAGGUUUUGUACUUCAAUGUGUGAACAUUCAUUACUGUUCUAACACUUUCUGAAAUUGUUCUGAGUUAUGGACAUCUGCCAACAGGAGUCCAUAUCACACUGUGUACAUUGGGGUACCAUCUGUUGUACCAUGUACCAUGUGCUGUACCAUGUACCAUGUGUUCUAUCAUGUACCAUGUGUUGUACCAUGUACCAUGUGUUCUAUCAUGUACCAUGUGUUGUAGUACUGCCUUAACAUCAAGGUACAAGGAGUAUCAGGACAGGUUUAGUCAUGGUCGGUGUGGGCAUUUUUGUUACAGACUGAAGCCAGUGACAUCAAUGAAAGUGGGGAGAAGUUUGCAGAGAUGGACAAAAAGAUCAAGGACCUAGAGCGGGAGGUGAGUGAUCGGAAUGAAGAGAAGCAGGAGCUGGCUAAGGCCUUGACCUUGUCGUACGAGGAACUUCAGAAGCUGAGACAAGACACCAAUGAGGAACAGGAACGCCUGAACACAGAGAGAGUAGAGCUCCAGAACACACUGCGAGACGUGCAGGAACAUCUAGAGACAACGAAACAGGAAAUGGCCUUGAUGCAGUCUAGGUCAACAGGUCAAGUGUCGGAUCUCCAGGACAUCGCGGAGGAACAUUAUAACCGGGCCAAUCGGCUGAAUGAUGACCUCUCGAGGUUAAAGAGAGAGGUCCUUAGUACUAAGAAGCAGCUGUUGUCGCAGGACAUGUUAAACAUAAGGCUGGUAACGCUAGAGGAGGCACUUAGAACACGCGAGCAGAGCCAGUCACUUGUAGAGCCCGUGCGUGAUACACCUUCAGACACACAUGAUUCCGACCAAUCAGAUACGGACAACAGCACAGACAAUAAAGAGAAUCGUCAGUCACGGCGCGAUGUGUCUGUGUCACUGCGAGAGGAGUGGAGAAAGGAGGCCCUCAAAGACAAACUGCUUGAAGAACAGGACUAUCUCAGACACCAGCUAAGGCAACAGAUGCUGCGACACGCAGAGUCGAUGGAGUCAACGCGACUACAGUCUGAGGGAACUAUUGAAAGUCUCAAACGCAAGCUCAACACACUACAGGAAGUACUAUUUAACAACAACAACCAUCUCUCAUCCGAUAUACACGCAAUACAUGAAUUGACAAGGUCAAGGUCAAACUCUCCACCAAGGUCACCUUACUCUCGGAAUAGCUCUCAAAGUCCAAGAAGUCGGUUUAGCUAUCUGGCAAAUAGAAGGUCAAGGUCAAGGUCAUCUGAGAGACCAGGUCAACUGAUACCCGAGAGAGAUUUGAUGUGAAGAAAUGGUAAACACCUGUCUCCAUGGUUACACAACAGGAAGUCACAUGACAAUCAGGAAGUGAGGUGGCAGACUCAUAGUGCCUGUUCCAGCCGGAGUGAGGGGUGUUUCAGUUUGCUGGUGCAUAUCAAAAGCAUGUGUGUCAGUUGCUGGUGUGAAUGGGAUGUGUGAACUAAUAGCUUGAAUAGAUCUGUAGUUGUCAUAAACAGAUACAAGGAUUAGGAAAGUGCUUGAAUUCCUCAGCAAUAUGACUUGUAUGUUGUAUAUUCACCGGUUUGAGCAAUCCGUGUCAAGUUUCCUCUGACUAACUUGACCUUGACUACAAUAAUAGGUAGAAUUAAAGUAUAUAUUCUAUUUCUGAGCAUCAAAUUAACUGAAUUCAAACUUUUUCUUAACUAAAUACCACAAACAAAAAAUUGAAUUAUUUUUUUGUCUGUCACCUUUGUGGAAAAAAGGAGUCUUAGCAUUGCCAGGUUGGUGAAACUUUAGUUGAGAAGUGGCUUGUCACUGACUUGUACUAUAGAUAAAUAGGUAUUGAGUCAACUGAUUACAGUGGACCAGAUGUUUGCAGAGUUUGCAGAAUUUCUGCAGCGUGAGAUGGGUUAUACAUUGGCUACUGAGAAUGAAUGUGAAAACUGUGGUUGAGUGUGUGCAAGCUCUCUACAUACAGUAUUAUAAGUUAUUUUAAUGUUUGUAUGUUCCUGUAUGUCUGCAGACAUGCUACAAACAUACAAACGGUUUGUACAAGCUAGCUGUGAUAUUAUUGUUUUUACUUUUUAUCUACUUACCCGUCCUUGUGAUUCUAGUUCAUAUUACAGUGUUUUUGUAGUAACAUAUCACUUGUACAGGUUUACUCUCGAGACUGUAUUAUAUGUAAAUAGUUGUACAUAGUCUUGGUGCGAUGGAGGCCAUAUUUACGUUGCCAUUAUCAGACUGGGGCAAAUCUUGCUACAGAUCUGUAGACAUGUUUUAAUGGGAAUAUGCAGACAUUGUGUCCUUGUUGCCAUUAUAGGAUGAAUGUUAGCUGAACUGAUCCGUUGGAUGGCAUAUCAGGACAUAGUAUGGUUUCAUUUGACUUAUUAAAAUAUCUUGCAUAGUCAUGUAUGUCUGUUGGAAAAGACUAAAUAUGGAAUGCAUAAAUUCAUAAUUCAUGUUAUCUUAUAACUAAAGUAAUGGUAUUUAAAAAUGGUGGUCCUCUACGAUCAUGUGAGAAAUGGUUUUAUAAGGGCCAACAGAUUGAAUCUGUCUCUGUUUAUAGAUAUCUGGGUGUUGUCUUCACACCCAAGCUUAUGUAGAGCAAAGCACAACUAUGUUUAUCAUCUCAGGCUAACAAAGCAAUUUUAUCAUUAUUCAGUUUUCAAACAAAAAUUGGUAACAUAGACGGCUGUGAUUUAUUUAGGAUAUUUGACUCAAUGAUUGUGCCUAUACCCUGCUAUGGCGCAGAAAUUUUGGGCACUGAAUAUUGUAAAGGUAUAGAGGCCGUACAACUUAAGUUCUGUAAACAGUAUUUAAGGGUAAACAAAUCUACGUUUAAUGGUAUGGUGUUAGGUGAGUGUGGCAGACUCCCUCUCCAAUAUGUUUAUGUCUUGCGUGUUAUUAAGUACUGGUGUCGUCUCCAUUUAACUGAAAGUAGGUUGCCUCGUCAAUGUUACAUUAUGUUAAGAUCUUUAGAUGAAGCUGGACGCACCAUUGGGUUUCAAAGGUUAAACAAAUAUUACUCAGGUAUGGCUUUGGUUAUGCUUGGUUUUAUCAAGACAUUGGAAAUGUUGGUAUGUUCAUUUCUGUUUUUAAACAAAGACUAAAGGAGAAUCUACAACAGUCAUGGUAUUCAUCAAUACAGGAUUCUUCAAAAUACUUUUAUUAUAAGCAGUAUAAGUCUUUGUUGAAUGUUGAAAAAUACUUGUGUUCUGACGUUCCAGUGUAUCUAAGGAUGUCUAUCAAGAUUUAGAUGUAGCAACUUUAAGAUAGCAGUAGAAACUGGAAGAUAUGGCCAUAUUGAACUGAGAAAGACUUCAUGUACUGCAAAUCAAAAGGUCUGGAUUAUACUGAAAAUGAAUGGCAUGUCAUAUUUGUGUGUGGUUGUUAUAAAGAUUUAAGAGUCAAAUACAUUGCUAAAUUAUACAAGAACCCUACACUGUACACACUAUGAUGAAUCUGUUUCAAAAUGAAAGUUAUGAUGUUAUGUACAACAUCGGCUUGUUUCUGUACCAUGUUAACAAUAUUGUAAAUUCUAGAAACAAAUGAGUGCUACCGUAUACCUUCUUAAAACAUACGCACGUGAAAGAUACAAACACAGCCCUAUUAUCUGUAUGUAUUAUGGGCCAGUGGCCUCCUUACUGAAUACACUGUCUGUCUGUCUGGUAUCAUAACAUGUUUAUCAUAAUUCAUAAUUACUUCUUUGUAAUGUUUUAGCCUACAAGGUGACUGAAGGAAAUAUAUAAGUUCCUGAAUGCUCAUGCUGUUGAUCACUGGAUUGUCAUAGACUUACACGGGCCACAGACUUGAUUAUUUACAGACAGCUGCCAUAUAGCUGGAAUAUUGCCGAGUGCGACGUUAAGCAACAAACUAACCCAUCUCUGUUCAAAAACUAUUUCCAUUUGCCUGCUAAGGGUACAUUGUUGAAAACCCUAUCUGAUUUCCUUUUCAUAAUAAACCAACUCAAAAUGGACAAGUUGGAUAUUGGUAGGUUAAGUUUAACUACACUGGGAGAAUUCUGUGGAGAAUACCAUUUUCAAAACUGAUCUGUCUCAGAGUUCAAUGUCUAACUUGACAAACAAGUUUGUGUUGAGUUACUCUGUAUGGGAAUAUUGUACAGAUUUAUGACUGAUUUGUUUAGCCGUGUAUUAUAUGUAUAUUCUGUGAUUGUUGUGAUAUGUUUAUACAUUCCAUAUCUACGUGUUUGACAUAUCAAGCACCCUUGUUCAAUAAGUGCCCCAAUGAAUAUUGAAGUCAGAACAAUUGAAAUUUCCCUAUUUUCUUAUGUAUAAUUUAUAGUUUUAUUUACAAGUAACUGCUUUGGAAAGAGUUUUUGUUUUAUAAGCGUUGGAAAUGUUGCUUCACUACCACUCAAUAUCCGAAAGCAAAUUUACCUUGUUUUGGGUUUUAAUUAGCACCCCAUUGGUCAGUUUUCUAAAAGCCUGGAUUGCGCUUUAUGUAAUUACAUUUACAAAGUCUGUGGUCUGUUGUAGGCAUGUUGUGUUUUUAGAUUUAAACAUAGGCGAUAUGUUUGACAGCUAAAACAACUGGGUUGGUUAGCAGAUAUGUUUAAACCAGUGCAUCUUGUUCACCUGUACGUUGAUAUAGUUCUGAGCAUAAUUAUCAAAUCCAGUUACUGCAACACUAUUCCUGAAAGUGGCAUUGGACCUUCAACUUCCAAGACAAAUUAUUGAUGAUUGUAUACUCGCUCUUUAGUAGUAUUUCUAAAUGUAUUUAUUUGUUUAGUAUUAUAUAUUUAGGAGUUCUUAACAUGCCGUGGUUACGUGACAUUGUGUUCUCACUGAACAAUAUAACAAGAUUUCCCACAUUCUGUGAACUACAAGUAUCUGUCUCUGUCAAAUCUUUACAAAACGACAUUUGCUUUGAGGUAAUGUUUCUCAAGUGACUGAGGAAAACGUAUCUGAUAUACUAUAUAUACCGGUACAUACCCACAUGUAUUAUUAUGCAGUGAUCAGUUAUAUAAUCAAUGAAUUUGUUGGACAAGUAAAAAUAUUGGAUCGUGAUAAUAUUUAUUUACAUAUUAGGUUUGACAUGUAUAUUUAUGUAAGAACACUAUGCUCAUGGGUAGAGAUGAUAGUUCAACAUCAGUUUAAUCGUAAUAAUUUACCAUGCUAUGAAAUUACCAGGCAAGUAAUGGAGAUUGUUUUGGUUGCAUGUACAGAUAGAAGAGUGACAUGUGUUGGCAUUUACAUCAAGUUACUACAACACUGUACACACAUAUGAGGGUGUACAUAUAUAGAUAAAUAGGAGUUAGUUUGAAAAUAUUAUUACUGUAGCGGACACAAUAGUUUGAGGAAGUCAAACUGCAUCUGUGCUAAAUUAAAAUGUCAGAGUACCAUAUCUAAGUGUUGCCAUUUCCUAGUAAAACAACUAAAUUUAUUAUUUUUUAUAAUUUUCCUGAGAUUUGGUGAAAAGUAAUGGAAGAUUUAGUCAAAAACGGUUGGAACCCUCCUCACAUGUUGGAAAUGUGAUUGAUGGCAAGAACCUGAGUGAUCAGUCUUGCAGAUAUGCUGACAAGGCAUAAGUCAAAUCAAUCACAACGUACUGACGUGUAGAGUCAUCCAUACAUUACCAGAGUUUAGACAUUGUCCAGCGUCAGUGUUGUCCAGAUACCAUUCCUUAUACAAA
This is an RNA transcript of Haliotis rubra (blacklip abalone), 5926 nucleotides long. It is a transcript of the gene named centriolin-like, with no coding region annotated. The transcript has 10 exons. NCBI's taxonomy places the organism in Eukaryota, Metazoa, Mollusca, Gastropoda, Lepetellida, Haliotidae. The record is from RefSeq and is a predicted model, not a curated record.